AUUGAACGCUGGCGGCAUGCUUUACACAUGCAAGUCGAACGGUAACAGGGUGCUUGCACCGCUGACGAGUGGCGAACGGGUGAGUAAUGCGUCGGAACGUGCCGAGUAGUGGGGGAUAACGCAGCGAAAGUUGUGCUAAUACCGCAUAGGUACUGAGGUAGAAAGUGGGGGACCUUCGGGCCUCACGCUAUUCGAGCGGCCGACGUCUGAUUAGCUAGUAGGUGAGGUAAAGGCUCACCUAGGCGACGAUCAGUAGCGGGUCUGAGAGGAUGAUCCGCGACACUGGGACUGAGACACGGCCCAGACUCCUACGGGAGGCAGCAGUGGGGAAUUUUGGACAAUGGGCGCAAGCCUGAUCCAGCAAUGCCGCGUGCAGGAAGAAGGCCUUCGGGUUGUAAACUGCUUUUGUACGGAACGAAACGGUCCUGGUUAAUACCCGGGGCUAAUGACGGUACCGUAAGAAUAAGCACCGGCUAACUACGUGCCAGCAGCCGCCGUAA
RNAcentral lists this ribosomal RNA (500 nucleotides) under uncultured bacterium. RNAcentral's name for it is "partial 16S ribosomal RNA". It matches the Rfam family "Bacterial small subunit ribosomal RNA", at positions 30 to 523 of the family's 1533-position model. The record is from RNAcentral.